UACGUAGGCAGCAAGCGUUGUUCGGAGUUACUGGGCGUAAAGGGUGUGUAGGCGGUUUUCUAAGUCUGGUGUGAAAUCUCCCGGCUCAACUGGGAGGGUGCGCCGAAAACUGGAAGGCUAGAGUGCGGGAUGGGAGAGUGGAAUUCCUGGUGUAGCGGUGAAAUGCGUAGAUAUCAGGAAGAACACCAGCGGCGAAGGCGGCACUCUGGGCCGGAACUGACGCUGAGGAGCGAAAGCGUGGGUAGCAAACAGG
Molecule: ribosomal RNA, 253 nt
Filed under: uncultured bacterium
Lineage: Bacteria
Description: partial 16S ribosomal RNA
Rfam family: Bacterial small subunit ribosomal RNA
Source: RNAcentral